RNAcentral lists this ribosomal RNA (497 nucleotides) under uncultured bacterium. RNAcentral's name for it is "bacterial SSU rRNA". It matches the Rfam family "Bacterial small subunit ribosomal RNA", at positions 1 to 522 of the family's 1533-position model. The record is from RNAcentral.
UAGAGUUUGAUCCUGGCUCAGAUUGAACGCUGGCGGCGUGCUUAACACAUGCAAGUCGAGCGGUAACAGGUGUAGCAAUACAUGCUGACGAGCGGCGAACGGGUGAGUAAUGCUUCGGAAUCUACCUUAUGGUGGGGAAUAACUAGCCGAAAGGUUAGCUAAUACCGCAUACGUCCUACGGGAGAAAGCAGGGGAUCGUAAGACCUUGCGCCGAUAGAUGAGCCGAAGUCGGAUUAGCUAGUUGGUGAGGUAACGGCUCACCAAGGCGAUGAUCCGUAGCUGGUCUGAGAGGAUGAUCAGCCACACUGGGACUGAGACACGGCCCAGACUCCUACGGGAGGCAGCAGUGGGGAAUAUUGGACAAUGGGGGCAACCCUGAUCCAGCAAUGCCGCGUGGGCGAUGAAGGCCUUCGGGUUGUAAAGCCCUUUUGCACGCGACGAUGAUGACGGUAGCGUGAGAAGAAGCCCCGGCUAACUUCGUGCCAGCAGCCGCGGUA